GAUGAACGCUGGCGGCGUGCUUAACACAUGCAAGUCGAACGGAACUCCUAUGAUUGAGGUUUCGGCCAAAAGAAUAGGAUGUUUAGUGGCGGACGGGUGAGUAACGCGUGAGUAACCUGCCUUGGAGUGGGGAAUAACACAGUGAAAACUGUGCUAAUACCGCAUAAUGCAUUUGGGUCGCAUGAUCCUGAAUGCCAAAGAUUUAUCGCUCUGAGAUGGACUCGCGUCUGAUUAGCUAGUUGGCGGGGUAACGGCCCACCAAGGCGACGAUCAGUAGCCGGACUGAGAGGUUGGCCGGCCACAUGGGGACUGAGACACGGCCCAGACUCCUACGGGAGGCAGCAGUGGGGAAUAUUGGGCAAUGGGCGCAAGCCUGACCCAGCAACGCCGCGUGAGGGAAGAAGGCUUUCGGGUUGUAAACUUCUUUUGUCAGGGACGAAGCAAGUGACGGUACCUGACGAAUAAGCCACGGCUAACUACGUGCCAGCCGCCGCAGUAA
RNAcentral lists this ribosomal RNA (499 nucleotides) under uncultured bacterium. RNAcentral describes it as "partial 16S ribosomal RNA". It matches the Rfam family "Bacterial small subunit ribosomal RNA", at positions 28 to 523 of the family's 1533-position model. The record is from RNAcentral.